UCGUAGACAAUUUGAGGAGAAAUAAAAUGUACGUGCUUAUCAACUGCUCCCGCUGUAGCAAUUAAGCCUUCCCCGGAAAUUAUCUCUGUGAACGGACCUAUUUCCAAUCCAGGAGUAACGUUAUCCAUAGUAUCAGGAUUACCUGCUUUACCUAUGCCACAAAUAUAGCCGUUUUUUAUUCCUAUAUCAGCUUUUACAAUGCCUGUAUAAUCUAAAAUGAUAACAUUGGUGAUAACUAAAUCUGGUGCAUCUAUUUUAGUAUUAGUCUGUCCCAUGCCAUCUCUA
Molecule: small RNA, 285 nt
Filed under: Thermodesulfatator indicus DSM 15286
Lineage: Bacteria; Pseudomonadati; Thermodesulfobacteriota; Thermodesulfobacteria; Thermodesulfobacteriales; Thermodesulfatatoraceae
Description: 5' ureB small RNA
Rfam family: 5' ureB small RNA
Source: Rfam by way of RNAcentral